Molecule: long non-coding RNA, 212 nt
Filed under: Mytilus galloprovincialis (Mediterranean mussel)
Lineage: Eukaryota; Metazoa; Mollusca; Bivalvia; Mytilida; Mytilidae
Source: RNAcentral
CCUUUUUAGCUCACCUGGCCCGAAGGGCCAAGUGAGCUUUUCCCAUCACUUUGCGUCCGGCGUCCGUCGUCGUCUGUCGUCCGUCGUCGUCCGUCGUCGUCGUUAACUUUUACAAAAAUCUUCUCCUCUGAAACUACUGGGCCAAAUUAAACCAAACUUGGCCACUAUCCUCAUUGGGGUAUCUAGUUUAAAAAAUGUGUCUGGUGACCCGG